CGGCGUUUGUUUCUAAAAACGCUGCUAAAGUUAGCGACGCUGUCAUUAGCGACGUUUUUUGUGGCGUUUCUCAAAGCGCCGCAAAUACUUUUAGCGGCGCUAAAAAGCGUCGCUAAAGACCUAAAAAAGCGCCGCUAAAAGUUUGUUUUGGUGUAGUGAUACUAUUCUCUUACUAUUUCUUCAUAAGCAUAUAUCAUUCAUUUCGUUAUAUCAAUAUUUCAUGCACCAUCAUUUCCUUAUAUUUUAUGUAUAUUUAUUUCGAUAAUAGUUCGUAUUAAACUUAAC
Molecule: long non-coding RNA, 285 nt
Filed under: Gossypium barbadense (sea-island cotton)
Lineage: Eukaryota; Viridiplantae; Streptophyta; Magnoliopsida; Malvales; Malvaceae
Description: long non-coding RNA (GBAR_LNC009920)
Source: RNAcentral